UAAGCAUAUCAAUAAGCGGAGGAAAAGAAACCAACAGGGAUUGCCCUAGUAACGGCGAGUGAAGCGGCAAAAGCUCAGAUUUGAAAUCUCUUUCUUUCAGAAAGCGAGUUGUAAUCUGGAGAUGGUUGGAUGGCUGCCGGUCUGGUCUAAGUUCCCUGGAAUAGGACAUCAUAGAGGGUGAGAAUCCCGUGAUUGACCAAGAUUUAAUGCCGUUUAAUCCACCAUUCGACGAGUCGAGUUGUUUGGGAAUGCAGCUCUAAAUGGGUGGUAAAUUUCAUCUAAAGCUAAAUACCUGCCAGAGACCGAUAGCGAACAAGUAGCGUGAGCGAAAGAUGAAAAGCACUUUGAAAAGAGAGUUAAACAGUACGUGAAAUUGUUGAAAGGGAAGCGCUUGCCAUUAGACUUGAUAAUUAAAUUCAGCCAACUCAUGGGUUCGGCCUAUUUUUUAACUAUCAGGCCAGCAUCAGUUUGGAGAGGAUGUUAAAAGCAGUCGGAAUGUAGCAAUUAUUUCGGUAAUUGUGUUAUAGCCUUCUGCAGCAUAAUCCUACACCAGACUGAGGUCUGCCCUUCGGGAAGGAUGCUGGCGUAAUGAUGGCAAGCGACCCGUCUUGAA
RNAcentral lists this ribosomal RNA (613 nucleotides) under Aulaxina quadrangula. RNAcentral describes it as "partial large subunit ribosomal RNA". It matches the Rfam family "Eukaryotic large subunit ribosomal RNA", at positions 35 to 658 of the family's 3401-position model. The record is from RNAcentral. Lineage: Eukaryota; Fungi; Ascomycota; Lecanoromycetes; Ostropales; Graphidaceae.